GAUGAACGCUGGCGGCGUGCCUAAUACAUGCAAGUCGAGCUAACAGAUGAUGAGCUUGCUCCUCUGACGUUAGCGGCGGACGGGUGAUUAACACGUGGAUAACCUACCUAUAAGACUGGGAUAACUUCGGGAAACCGGAUCUAAUACCGGCUAAUAUAUUUAACGGCAUCUAUCAAUAGUGAAAGAGGGCUUUGCGUUCACUUAGAGAGGUGUCCGGGUCGAAUUAGCUAGUUGGUAGGGUAACGGGUUGCCCAGGCAACGGUGCCUGGCCGACAUGAGCGGGUGGUGGGGCAGACCGGAAAUGAGAAACGGUCAAGACUCCUACGGGAGGCAGCAGUAGGGAAUACUGCGGAAUGGGCGAAAGAAUGACGGAGAAACGACGAGUGAGUGAAGACGGCAUUCGGAUCGUAAAAAUCUGUUAUUAGGGAAGAAAAAAUGUGUACGUAACUAUGCAAGUCUUGAAGGUACCCAACAAAAAAGCCACGGCUAAAUACGUG
Molecule: ribosomal RNA, 497 nt
Filed under: uncultured bacterium
Lineage: Bacteria
Description: partial 16S ribosomal RNA
Rfam family: Bacterial small subunit ribosomal RNA
Source: RNAcentral